Non-coding RNA from Pelobates cultripes (western spadefoot toad), 463 nucleotides. The record is from the annotation of a GenBank genome assembly. NCBI's taxonomy places the organism in Eukaryota, Metazoa, Chordata, Amphibia, Anura, Pelobatidae.
CCCUUCUCAUUACAGAGAUGCACAUCACCUAAUAUGCUUAAUUGGUAGUAGGCUUUCGAGCCUAUACAGCUUGGAGUAAGACAACAUGCAUAAAGAGGAUGAUGUGGUCAAAAUACUCAUUUGCCUAAUAAUUCUGCACUCCCUGUACAUUUUUGAGCUUCCUUUCUCAGAGUGGUCACAUGCUCAUCAAAUUGGAAUACAUUAUUGAGCUUCCUCUAUCAAAGAGGUCAUAAGUUCAUCAAAUUGGGAUUCAUUACUGAGUUUCUUCUAACACAGAGAUCACAUGCACAUUCAAUUGGCAAUGGUUACUGAACUACCUAUCCCAGGUCACAUGCUUAUCCAAUGCGGUACUUGUUAUUGAAUUUCCUCUGUCACAUAGGUUCAGUAUUUUUUAUUAAGCUUCCUAUUUCACAGAGAUCUCCAACUUGUAUUUGGUACUGUUCUUCGUUGAUAACAUAGGUCA